ACUCACAAGAAAGAGAAGGAAAAGAUUUUGGGUCCCAGGCCCUGUCACUAAAACCUUCCCAACGAGGAGAACAGGCUUAGUUGCCCAGAGCACCUUCGGUCUCUCAGCUGAGCAACCAGGGCCUUCAACAUUGGAGGAAUUCCCAUGAUGGCCAGCAGAGAGAGCUCAAGAACCACAGACCCCCGAGGGGCGGGUUCCUCUGCUGGGCAGUGAUAGCCAGCAGAGGGCGCACCAUCUGCUUUUCUGACCCAGGGCACCUCAGAGCAGGAAGGGCUUUGCUUGCUCUCAGAGGACUCAGGCCUCUGCUGGUGCCUGAGUACAGAGACGAGAGCUGCAUUUCCAGCAGGUUCUGCCACCCGCCCCAGGGGAGACCUUGGGAGCUUAGCAGCAACUUGGCAUCUCCUGAGUCGCCAGAGAGAAGCUGCCUUGUUGUACUGAGUGCUGAGGAGGGGGCGCCGGGUGGCUUCCCUGGUCAAGCUGGUCGCUGAGCUGCACAGGCCUUUGCAUUUUCUGGGCUGUUCCCGUGUUUCAUUCCACCCCUUCCCGGACACUGUUUGAACAAGACGUAUUUUACUAAAGGACUUGUGGAUUGCGGGGUCCCACGACAUCACCUCAUAGAUGCAAUCGAUGAUUUGUUCCAGAUCCAGGCUUGUUUCCGGGAAGAAACCCUAACAGAAAUUCAGAAGCACGGGAGCUGCAUUCAAGUAGGACGUGGAUCCAUGAAAUGCUCGUCUCACGACCUUCUAGAAGAAGGAGCUGGGACCCAUGUUCCGAGUCCUGCUGGACCCAGAGGCCAAGUCUAUGCAAGUCAGAAUCAACCUCCAUCCGCCUCCAUCCUUUAUGAGACCUAAGACGUGAUGCAGCUCCAAUGGGAAAUAUCAGUUGUGUCUCUACCAAGGAUGCAGAAAAAGACAAGAUUCAGGCUUGUUUCCGGUAAGAAACGCUGACAGAAAUUCAGAAGAACGGGAGCUGCAUUCCAUUAGGACUUGAAUACACGAAAUGUUCGUCUCAGGACCUUCUAGAAGAAUGAGCUGGGACCCACUUUCCGAGUCCUGCUGGAACCAGUGACCGAGAUAUUGCCCAGGUGGCUGAGGCCUGCACUAGGGUACCUACCUCCUUUUCGGAUAGACUGUAUUCCCUUUCCAUGUUUUAGCUGUACCUGUGACACAGGACACGAGAGAAUGUGCUCAUGUGAAUACAAGUGAAGGACACCGUGGGGACUUGCCACACAGAUAUUUGUGCCCAGGGCACACCUGAAGGGACUCUGGACAGCAUGUUUACCAAAAUGCUGAUGGGUAUGAAAUUUACAUUCUAAAGGACACAUACAAAAAUAUAAAUUGGAGUGAAGGCAGUUCGCAUUUUCAAAUUGUAACGAUACCCACAGAUUUUUCUGAGUACGUUAAAAUCCUCAAUAGAAGGAAACAGGAGAGGAAGACACAGCAAGAGCAAAGAUUCCACAUUGAGGAGAUCCACAAAGAAUGAGGCAAGAGACGCCUGUACCAACCCAUGGUGGGGGAAAAGACGAAGAUGAGAUCCUGAGCAACUUGAGGAUUGUGGUAAUGGCAGCAGACACAUUCCCCUUGCAUCACAAUGGUCUGUGGUACCGCCUCUGCACCUUGGCCCAGGACCUAACAGCAACAAAAUAAGGAUCCAAGAGAGUAGCAUCAGUACCUGAAAACUCUGUCCCUGCCACUGGAUAGCACCUACAGCUUGGGGUAGUAGAUGCAAGAGGUUAACCUACUGCCACCACACAUCACUGCCCACGUCUGUGGAAGAAAAUGGCAACGGUCCUGUCCUAACGGGUUAACAGAAGUAAUUACAGAUUAAUGAAGUAGCAUUCUCCAGACAGGCAGCCAUCGAUGUCCAGGUUCACCCUGCAUCCCUCCUCUACGCCAACUCCAGAUGCUCUGCUUUUGCUAUAUUAAGAACACACAAAAAAUGAGUGGGAACAAAUGGCUCAUAUUCUGCUCAUGGAAUCACAGCCACUCCUGGCAAAAUAUUCUGCAGCCGGACCCUCACUGUGCCUCCUCUGCUCCUCUCCCUGAGAAAGGAGUCUUCCCUCUUGAAGUGUUGUCAAAGGCCUCGGAGACCUGUGGGCAGUGGAGGAUGCCUGGAAUCUUGCAGGGGAAGGAGAGUCUUCUGUGAAGAACGAGUUACUUGUGGUGAAUGUCUACAAAGCUCAGAUGUGUUCAUCUUAAUUCAUAGGGAAUUCUGACUUUAAGCAUACGACAGGACACAGAGUCAUUAUGUGCAAUGGAAAAAAAGAGGGAGAAUUUCACAUAACAGAUUUCACGCAAGUGUUUUGGUAUAAAACUGGUAUGUGUCAUGAGACUAUAUCAGCUCUAACAGUGACUGGGGACACAACCAGCAACUGCUCAUAGAAACACAAUUGAAGGACACAGUGUGCAAAUUGUUUUUACCUAAGGUAUAGCUGGAGGAUUCCAGACAAGUCAUUUACCGACAAAGACGGACAGGUGAUGAGUGAUGAUAUUGGCUUUCUCUGUGACCACUCUAAAUGGCACAGGGCACAUAAUAGAAAGUUGGAGUCAUGAUGUCGUUUCUAACAGGUUCAUCUCCUAGCCAGAAUCAAGAAAGGAAGACACAGCAGCCACACUGUUCCCACAGAGGUGAGGUCUGGAAAGGAUCACCCAGGCCGGGAGACAUCUGUUUGGAGUGUGCAGUCAUCCUCCUCUCAUUAUUUCCUGAACCUCACGGAAAAACCUUAAGACCACACAGGAACAGGCUGCACAGCAGAAAUUGGACUGCAGCACAUCACAACGUGCUCCUUACCUCGCCUUGGAGGGUUCUUGCAGUGAUUGGUUUCUGCCUCGUGUAUCCCUCAGGCAGCCUCUUUGCUUCCAUCCCGUCCAGUCUUGGAUACAGAAAAAUAAUGGACUUCUAUAAGAGUUGCAACACCACGUCGUCUACUAGACAACUAACAGUGCAGGCGUCAUCCCUGGAAACACCCAAGUCAAAUGACCACACCUGUAUUUCAAGGUUGCAAAGACGAGGGCCAUGAAAUGGCACUACCACGUUGAUGGGUAUGAUUCAUUGUACGACACACUGCUUUCCUACAGAUGACGACAAUUGACACCACCCCCGAGGAAUGUUAGCAUGGACAAAGUUUCCACACAGUCUGGUCACUACUUGAGAUCUGCAAAUGUUUAGAAACUUAAUUAUUUUAUUCUUUCUAAAACUUACCUUUUUUAUCUGUUAAUACUCUAUGCAUAUGUUGACUUUAAACUUUUCAAAAAGAUUAAAAACCAAAAAAUGAA
Molecule: long non-coding RNA, 3275 nt
Organism: Felis catus (domestic cat)
Lineage: Eukaryota; Metazoa; Chordata; Mammalia; Carnivora; Felidae
Exons: 10
Source: RefSeq, a predicted model, not a curated record